Long non-coding RNA from Leptidea sinapis, 605 nucleotides. RefSeq lists it as uncharacterized. The transcript is spliced from 4 exons. Lineage: Eukaryota; Metazoa; Arthropoda; Insecta; Lepidoptera; Pieridae. The record is from RefSeq and is a predicted model, not a curated record.
GUGGAAUCCGAAGUACGUUCUAAUAUAAGCAAUAUUAGUUUUUAUCAUAUUUUAUAAAAUGCUAUCUUUUAGAAAAGUUACUUGUUUACUGCAAAAUGAAUUAAGCCAACUUAGAUCAAUGGGAUGGUCUCCUGUAUCUUCAUCUCACAAAGUGCUGUUCACAAUUUUAUCUAAAACAAAUUAUUCUACAUCAACUAAUCGGGCGACAGUGGACGACAACGAGUUAGAGAGAUUCAACAAAUUAGAUUGGUGGGACCCAAACAGCGCCUUACGGGGAUUACAUACUUUUAACGAACUCAGAAAGAAUUACCAACAGCCAAUAACUCCACGCAUUCAUUAAAUUUUUUUUUUUUAGAGUUCCAUUUAUUAGAGAUGCGCUUACAGGUGGUUCAAUGGAUAAACAUUCAUUAGAUGUGUUCACGGAUAAGAAAGUGCUUGAAGUUGGUUGUGGAGCUGGAAUUUUUUCAGAAGGAAUUGCAAAAGCUGGGCUUAAUAUAACAGGAAUCGAUCCAUGCCCGGAAUUAAUUGAUGUUGCGCAAAAUCACAGCGAUUCAAACCCAGAUAUUGCAAACAACAUACCAACGUAUUAUUGCACAACUAUUGAG